This 72-nucleotide transfer RNA is filed under the name Nisia fuliginosa. RNAcentral describes it as "tRNA-Asp". Lineage: Eukaryota; Metazoa; Arthropoda; Insecta; Hemiptera; Meenoplidae. The record is from RNAcentral.
AGGAGAUUAGUUUAAAACUUAAAAACAAUUAAAUGUCAAAUAAUAAAUAAUUAAACAAUUAAUUAUUUCCUU